UGCUAAAAAUUUCAUUCAUUUUUACCGCUAAAAGCUAAUAUGGUAAUCGAAUAACUAAACAAUGAUACAUGGGGUGCCAUGUGUAUUUCAUGUAAACAUAAAAGAACUAGUUUUUAACAAUAGAAAUGGAUGUAAUUUUUAACA
Non-coding RNA from Gossypium hirsutum (cotton), 144 nucleotides. NCBI's taxonomy places the organism in Eukaryota, Viridiplantae, Streptophyta, Magnoliopsida, Malvales, Malvaceae. The record is from Rfam.